UCAAAAUUGGAGCAUGUCGUCAUGG
This 25-nucleotide non-coding RNA is filed under the name Cricetulus griseus (Chinese hamster). The record is from RNAcentral. Lineage: Eukaryota; Metazoa; Chordata; Mammalia; Rodentia; Cricetidae.